AGAAUAGAUCUAGGAAGCCAAAUCAACUUGACAUUAUUUACUUAGUAAAUAAAUUAUAUCAAAAUGGACAAUAAAAAUUGAAUAAUCUUUAAAAUUUGAGUGUAGGACUUUUAAAUUCAAAAUCAUUUUUUGUUAACCUUAAUUUAGAUAGUUUAAAGUAUUUUCUAUCAAAAUUUGAAGAAAUUUAGAUUCUUUUACACUGUUAAACUCCAAACUCGCCAUAGUAGCCAUUAAAAAUUAAUAAUUUUGAAAUAGUUUGAUCAUAAAAUAAACAACGUCGAAGAAAUAUAAAAUUUUAUUUCUAAAAACUUAGUACAGGAGCCCCGAUACUUAUAGAUAGUAUAGAAGACUAGCUAUAUAUAUAUAUAUAUAUAUAUAUA
RNAcentral lists this long non-coding RNA (380 nucleotides) under Ananas comosus (pineapple). Its description in RNAcentral is "long non-coding RNA (ACOM_LNC009650)". Lineage: Eukaryota; Viridiplantae; Streptophyta; Magnoliopsida; Poales; Bromeliaceae. The record is from RNAcentral.